GAAUCCGCCAAGGAGUGUGUAACAACUCACCUGCCGAAUGAACUAGCCCUGAAAAUGGAUGACGCUUAAGCGGUCUGCCGACACCACGCCGUUUUGACAAAAUGCGAUCAAAAUGAGUAGGAGGGCGUGGCGGUCUUGUUGGGAAGAUCUAGACGCAAGUCUGAUUUGAACGGCCGCUAGUGCAGAUCUUGGUGGUAGUAGCAAAUAUUCAAGCGAGAUCCUUGAAGGGCGAAGCGGGGAAGGGUUCCACGCGAACAUUGAUUGGGCGUGGGUGAGUCGUUCCUAAGCCGGGUGGUAAUCGUUCUUCGAUCGGCGAAAGGGAAGCGGGUUAAAAUUCCCGCACACGGAUGUGAAAGCGGUGACGCAAGUUGAGGUGGAGACGUCAGCGGUGGCGCUAGGCAGAGUUCUCUUUUCUGUUUGACCUGUGAGUGCAUGCUGUGGAAACCGAUUAUCGGGAGAAACAGGUGCCGAUGGGCAGAGCGUCGGGGUGUCCCCGGCGUCUAGAACGCCACCGAUGGCCCUUGAAAAUCCAUCUGCAAUUACAUUUCACGCCGUGGCGUACCGAUAACCGCAUCAGGUCCCCAAGGUGAACAGCCUCUGCUCAAUAUGAACAAUGCAGGUAAGGGAAGUCGGCA
RNAcentral lists this ribosomal RNA (635 nucleotides) under Corallinales sp. ARS-2011. RNAcentral's name for it is "eukaryotic LSU rRNA". It matches the Rfam family "Eukaryotic large subunit ribosomal RNA", at positions 1264 to 1919 of the family's 3401-position model. The record is from RNAcentral. Lineage: Eukaryota; Rhodophyta; Florideophyceae; Corallinales.